GUUUGAUCCUGGCUCAGAACGAACGUUAGCGGCGCGCCUAACACAUGCAAGUCGAGCGAGAAAGGGCUUCGGCCCCGGUAAAGCGGCGCACGGGUGAGUAACACGUAGGCAAUCUGCCUCGAGGUGGUGGAUAACCCCUCCGAAAGGAGGGCUAAUACAGCAUGAGACCACGUCGUCGAAAGACGAUGCGGCCAAAAGCCGGCCUCUUCAUGAAAGCUGGCGCCACGAGAUGAGCCUGCGGCCCAUCAGCUAGUUGGUAGGGUAACGGCCUACCAAGGCAAAGACGGGUAGCUGGUCUGAGAGGAUGAUCAGCCACACUGGAACUGAGACACGGUCCAGACUCCUACGGGAGGCAGCAGUGGGGAAUCUUGCGCAAUGGGCGAAAGCCUGACGCAGCGACGCCGCGUGAGCGAUGAAGG
Molecule: ribosomal RNA, 419 nt
Filed under: uncultured bacterium
Lineage: Bacteria
Description: bacterial SSU rRNA
Rfam family: Bacterial small subunit ribosomal RNA
Source: RNAcentral